GGAACGAACGCUGGCGGCAUGCCUAAUACAUGCAAGUCGAACGAACACUUCGGUGUUAGUGGCGCACGGGUGCGUAACGCGUGGGAAUCUGCCCUUGGGUUCGGAAUAACAGUUGGAAACGACUGCUAAUACCGGAUGAUAUCGAAAGAUCAAAGAUUUAUCGCCCAGGGAUGAGCCCGCGUAAGAUUAGCUAGUUGGUGAGGUAAAGGCUCACCAAGGCGACGAUCCUUAGCUGGUCUGAGAGGAUGAUCAGCCACACUGGGACUGAGACACGGCCCAGACUCCUACGGGAGGCAGCAGUAGGGAAUAUUGGACAAGUGGGGACG
RNAcentral lists this ribosomal RNA (326 nucleotides) under uncultured soil bacterium. Its description in RNAcentral is "bacterial SSU rRNA". It matches the Rfam family "Bacterial small subunit ribosomal RNA", at positions 27 to 380 of the family's 1533-position model. The record is from RNAcentral.